This is a long non-coding RNA of Armigeres subalbatus, 825 nucleotides long. RefSeq lists it as uncharacterized. Lineage: Eukaryota; Metazoa; Arthropoda; Insecta; Diptera; Culicidae. The transcript has 3 exons. The record is from RefSeq and is a predicted model, not a curated record.
AAUCGCGUCGAGCCCACAGAUGGAGCGCAAGUGCUAUGCUCUACAGGUUGUAAAAGCAUAAUGCGAACAACAUUAUUAAUUUGAGUCGGGUUUUCCUAUAAAAAGCCCGACAAUCCCUGCAGCCUUCUCUUUGGCUGAACUUUUCUAGAAAGGUCUAGAAGUGCGCGCGUGUGUAGUUUUCUUUAAUGUGAGAGGUUAGAAAGUUAAUUCCUCAUGUGGUGCAAUUGUUUUAAUUUGGUGUUUUUGUUUCUUUGUUAGGUUCAAUUAGUAAGAUAGUUAAUACAAAGUUCGUUAGUAAGGUGUUAGUCGCUGUAAAAUUGUUAUAAAAAUUUAUAGUUAAAAUACGACACAAAGCAAACAACAAAAACGAACACGUUAAAAAGCAACAAGAAAAAGGUCCAAAGUAUGGGCCUUUUUCUGUAUUUUUGGAAUAAUCCCCAGCAACCUCGGCGGCGAGAAUGGCGACAGGAGGUCGGCAUCAGCAGCGCACCGCAAUAUGCUUCAGCCAAAGCCGCCAUUGUUAUGGCAUCCAUGUGGCUCAACGCAACGGAGCCCAACAUUUCGACCAGACGUCCGGUAAUUUCACCGAUGUUCGCCAACGCCUGCCGCUGGAGUCAAACCACGCUUCCGAGGCCGCUUUCCGCCAUCUCCGUCGGCAUCUGCUAGACUGGCUCAACGUAGAUCGCUCUACUAGGUUACAGAGCGAGCUACCCGUAUGCGGAACCGGAGGUUCCCCCAAAACCUGUCGACCGACCACAACCGCAAGUAUAAACCCCCUGCAAAACUGACGUCACAACAAUAAAACAGACGAGGUCGUAAAACUGA